CCAUUACAGAUCUGCUCGCAUUUCACCUCCAAAAUUUCAGUUCGUUCUUUCGCCUUCGCUCCCUCUUUCCUCUAUCUCAUAGAUACUCCUAAGCUGUAAGCUUAAGAAUACAAGUCCAUUUAAGGUCAGCUUCUUCCAUCUUCAGAAAUUUUCUUUUCUGGUCAAAAUUUCCCUUCGUGGCAGGUUACUGUUAGCAAUUACGAUUUUGAUUUCAGGACUGUGAUACUUAUUUACUUAUAUCC
This 242-nucleotide unclassified non-coding RNA is filed under the name Hevea brasiliensis (rubber tree). Lineage: Eukaryota; Viridiplantae; Streptophyta; Magnoliopsida; Malpighiales; Euphorbiaceae. The record is from RNAcentral.